Molecule: ribosomal RNA, 117 nt
Filed under: Metabacillus indicus
Lineage: Bacteria; Bacillati; Bacillota; Bacilli; Caryophanales; Bacillaceae
Source: RNAcentral
GUCUGGUGAUGAUGGCAAAGAGGUCACACCCGUUCCCAUACCGAACACGGAAGUUAAGCUCUUUAGCGCCGAUGGUAGUUGGGGGUUUCCCCCUGUGAGAGUAGGACGUUGCCAGGC